AUUGAACGCUGGCGGCAUGCCUUACACAUGCAAGUCGAACGGCAGCACGGGGGCAACCCUGGUGGCGAGUGGCGAACGGGUGAGUAAUGCAUCGGAACGUGCCCAGUAGUGGGGGAUAACUAGUCGAAAGAUUAGCUAAUACCGCAUACGACCUAUGGGUGAAAGCGGGGGAUUCGCAAGAACCUCGCGCUAUCGGAGCGGCCGAUGUCUGAUUAGCUAGUUGGCGGGGUAAAGGCCCACCAAGGCUUCGAUCAGUAGCUGGUCUGAGAGGACGACCAGCCACACUGGGACUGAGACACGGCCCAGACUCCUACGGGAGGCAGCAGUGGGGAAGUUUUGGUACAAUGGGCGCAAGCCUGAUCCAGCCAUGCCGCGUGCGGGAAGAAGGCCU
This 391-nucleotide ribosomal RNA is filed under the name uncultured bacterium. RNAcentral describes it as "bacterial SSU rRNA". It matches the Rfam family "Bacterial small subunit ribosomal RNA", at positions 29 to 417 of the family's 1533-position model. The record is from RNAcentral.